UGAGGAAUAUUGGUCAAUGGGGGCAACCCUGAACCAGCCAAGUCGCGUGAAGGAUGAAGGUCUUAUGGAUUGUAAACUUCUUUUAUACAGGAAUAAAUUGGGGGACGUGUCCCCUUUUGCAUGUACUGUAUGAAUAAGGAUCGGCUAACUCCGUGCCAGCAGCCGCGGUAAUACGGAGGAUCCGAGCGUUAUCCGGAUUUAUUAGGUUUAAAGGGUGCGCAGGCGGGAUGUUAAGUCGGCGGUGAAAUUUUGCAGCUCAACGGUAAGAGUGCCGUCGAUGCUGGCCUCCUUGAGUGGUGAUGAAGUAGGCGGAAUUUGUGGUGUAGCGGUGAAAUGCAUAGAUAUCACGAGGAACUCCGAUUGCACAGGCAGCUUACUAAGCCACAACUGACGCUCAUGCACGAAGGCGUGGGGAUCAAACA
This 422-nucleotide ribosomal RNA is filed under the name uncultured bacterium. RNAcentral describes it as "bacterial SSU rRNA". It matches the Rfam family "Bacterial small subunit ribosomal RNA", at positions 355 to 774 of the family's 1533-position model. The record is from RNAcentral.